This 547-nucleotide ribosomal RNA is filed under the name Salmonella enterica. RNAcentral's name for it is "partial 23S ribosomal RNA". It matches the Rfam family "Bacterial large subunit ribosomal RNA", at positions 711 to 1254 of the family's 2925-position model. Lineage: Bacteria; Pseudomonadati; Pseudomonadota; Gammaproteobacteria; Enterobacterales; Enterobacteriaceae. The record is from RNAcentral.
AGACCCGAAACCCGGUGAUCUAGCCAUGGGCAGGUUGAAGGUUGGGUAACACUAACUGGAGGACCGAACCGACUAAUGUUGAAAAAUUAGCGGAUGACCUGUGGCUGGGGGUGAAAGGCCAAUCAAACCGGGAGAUAGCUGGUUCUCCCCGAAAGCUAUUUAGGUAGCGCCUCGUGAACUCAUCUCCGGGGGUAGAGCACUGUUUCGGCUAGGGGGCCAUCCCGGCUUACCAACCCGAUGCAAACUGCGAAUACCGGAGAAUGUUAUCACGGGAGACACACGGCGGGUGCUAACGUCCGUCGUGAAGAGGGAAACAACCCAGACCGCCAGCUAAGGUCCCAAAGUCAUGGUUAAGUGGGAAACGAUGUGGGAAGGCCCAGACAGCCAGGAUGUUGGCUUAGAAGCAGCCAUCAUUUAAAGAAAGCGUAAUAGCUCACUGGUCGAGUCGGCCUGCGCGGAAGAUGUAACGGGGCUAAACCAUGCACCGAAGCUGCGGCAGCGACACUUUAGUGUUGUUGGGUAGGGGAGCGUUCUGUAAGCCGUUGAA